GUCCCUUCGGGAACAUCCGAUGAAAUUGGAACGAUACAGAGAAGAUUAGCAUGGCCCCGGAUGACACGCACAAAAAAAACAGGUGACAGACCAUGUU
Molecule: small nuclear RNA, 97 nt
Filed under: Aegilops tauschii subsp. strangulata
Lineage: Eukaryota; Viridiplantae; Streptophyta; Magnoliopsida; Poales; Poaceae
Source: RNAcentral